GGAGAGAUGCCCGAGCUGUCUAAGGCGCUGAUUUAAGGCACCAGCCUUUUCGGGGGCGUGAGUUCGAAUCCCACUCUCUUCU
Molecule: transfer RNA, 82 nt
Organism: Caenorhabditis elegans
Lineage: Eukaryota; Metazoa; Nematoda; Chromadorea; Rhabditida; Rhabditidae
Source: Ensembl